Molecule: long non-coding RNA, 280 nt
Filed under: Elaeis guineensis (African oil palm)
Lineage: Eukaryota; Viridiplantae; Streptophyta; Magnoliopsida; Arecales; Arecaceae
Description: long non-coding RNA (EGUI_LNC065547)
Source: RNAcentral
CUCUAAUGUGUGUGACCCCGCAGAUUCGAACCUAAGCCGGUAGCACAGGAACCAAUUCUUGUACUAAUCGAAGUGACCAUCUGCAAUGGUACCCGACAUCUGGGUAGGUCGAAUAGUCGCAAUCGUAACAUUCAGAACCUACGUGAAUAUGGCUACUAUAUAAUUCAUCCCCUUUGACCCCUGUGUUUAGGACGACUCAGGGUUAAACUGUCAACCCUGAUUAGAUCAUCCGAAUCAUGCUCAACUCAAACAGUCCUGUGACUCCUCACUAGGACUACCC